This is an RNA transcript of Zingiber officinale, 1860 nucleotides long. It is a transcript of the gene named protein MICRORCHIDIA 5-like, with no coding region annotated. The transcript has 6 exons. The record is from RefSeq and is a predicted model, not a curated record. Lineage: Eukaryota; Viridiplantae; Streptophyta; Magnoliopsida; Zingiberales; Zingiberaceae.
CACUGUUUGCAUUUAAUCAAUAUGGUUUUUCUUUUUCAACAAUUUACUAGCUAUCUUGCUUUAUCUCUUUUGUUUGAUUUCCAGCAAUAGCAGAGCUUGAUAAUGCAUUUGAUGAGGCAAGACCUUCAGCCUGCCUUCUCUAUGAGAAUAGCUUUCUCUUCUUGAUAUAGGAGGUUUAUUUAUAUGUUUGAAUGUCAUAGUAAAUUUUGUGGGGGGGUUCAGUUGCAUUAGUUUAUGCUUUAGAAAGCCUUUGGUGAGCUAUGAGUAAAUUGACAAUAUUCUAAUGUUGCCUGUGAUCCAGAUAAGUAAUGGUUCUACAUUUGUCAAAAUUGAUAAACCUAGUAAUCAACAUUCAAGCAAACCUUCAUUAUUAAUUCAAGGUAGUUGUUAUCAAAUAAAUAUUUGUUUCUUUUAUUUUCGUUUUUAAUAUUAAGAGGAGAGUGUUUUGUUUUCCUUUACUAAUUUUCCCUUGAAUUUUUGACUUGAUUUGAUUUUACAUCAAGAUGAUGGUGGUGGAAUGGAUCCAAUACUCUUGCGGCACUGCAUGAGCUUUUUAAAAAUAUAUUAAGAUGAUGGUAACAUCAUGUUUCUUUGUCCCGGCAAACAGAAUCACAUUCAUCUCGAUCUACUUUGCAGUUUAAUGAUAUGGGAAAUCAUGGUACCAAAAUAAUCAUAUAUAACUUAUGGCACAAUGACACAGGGGAGACCGAACUUGAUUUUGAAAUUGAUGAAAAGGUAUACUGCUCAAUUCUAUAUUUGCACAUGCCGGACAAUUUCAAAAUUAUUUUAUAUGAAUGUGAAGUAGAGCACCAUUAUAUAGCCAGAGAUCUCAAAUACUGUGAAUGUGUUCAGUACCGAGCACACGUUGGUGAGAAGAUAGAGCCGUUUCACCAUGGAGCAAGUUAUAGAGGCAAAGGUGUGGUUGGGCUGUGGAAGAACAUCCUUAAGUGUGCAUUGUUAGGUUGAUCUCGUCCCUUGGUUGACGAUAAAGACACAAAUCCAUCAACUAUCUUGAUCAUUAGAGGGAGUGAAGGGUGCAUCAUUCCCAUUUGGUUGGUUAUGAGAAGAAAAUUUCCAGCUCAGCUGCACAUCGGUCUGCUGCUCACCCACUGCAUUCUUCUUCUAGGUGUUACAUUAAGUCCAUCCCUGUUAAUACCUCUACAACAUUAACAGGCACUACAUGUAUGGUUUCCAAUCACAAUGCAAGUUCAGUGCCAGCCAAGUAAUUGCGCUGGAUGGCAAAAAGGUGUGGAUAUAAAAGCCUUGAUACAAGAAAAUAUUGAAGCGCACCGAGAGUGAGUGCAAGCUAAGCUGUUUUGUUUCUUUUAUAUCAAGCUAGAGCAAAUAUCUUGAGCCCACCUAAAGAAAACUUUUGAAAAAGGGUAUACACUUCCAAAGACCUCCAAAGACCGCCAAAGACUAGAUUGAUGCACCUCCAGAGACCUUAUUGAUCAGAUGCAAAUAGUAGAUACAGCUCUAAAGAACCACUUAUGUGACGUAGCAUUUGAAUGUAAAAUUUGGGGUGCACAGAGAUGAUUUCCAAAGUCUUCUUGGUACAAGCAUAGUAUGUCAUCAAAACCUAUACAAGUAAAGAAAUUAAUCCAUUAAAGAGUAAUAUACUAUGGGAUGUUGGCUGAGUGUUUGGCUGAACUUGGUAGUACCUAGCACUCCAAAAUCUCCCAUUGAGUGGAGCAUAAGAACUAUUUGAGCAAACAACUAAGUCACUUCUUUUUGCAGUGCAGUCUUCUCCUACCAUCGUCAGUUGAGAUGAAAACUGACGAUGAAAAUUUAUUUGGUCUGUAAGUUUUUAGUUUCUUCAAAUUCUUCAUUUAUGUAAGAAUCCAGAAAAGAUGUCUGAUA